This is a long non-coding RNA of Taeniopygia guttata (zebra finch), 2852 nucleotides long. Lineage: Eukaryota; Metazoa; Chordata; Aves; Passeriformes; Estrildidae. The record is from Ensembl.
CAUACAAAGAAAAACAUCCAGAUGGUCUGGACUGAAGAGAUUUCCCUCGGCUGGCAGAGGAGGAUAGGAUGGAAAUUGGAAUGAUGAUGAGGGAGGAUGGGCAACUGCUGGAAGAGGGGAAAAAAUGGGAAAUUUUGAAGAAAAUGGAACUGGGGCUUGUUAAAACAGCUCAGGAGGGGCAGAUUUUGCUGGAACACAAGAUCCUGGUUCCCAGCUCUUUAAAAACAAGGAAAAGAGGGGCUGUUUAUUGAGAGCUGGAUUGGGAAUUCCAGUCUCCACGUGCCUUCAGCCGGGACCUGCAAUUCCUAUGGAAUCCGUGUUUAACGUAAAUGUCUUCCAUGAGCUGCUUUUAAUUCCCAAUCCUAAAGAAUUUCAGACUUUUGCAAAUGGGAUUCACUCAGUGAGGAAUUUCUGGAGUGCGAAAGGAGCUUUCAAAAAGGUGAGGAGAAAUUAAGGAAUGUGGUUAAAUGUCUUUAUAAAUUUGUGGAAUCAUGGAAUUGUUAAGUUUGGAAAGGACAUCCAAGAUCAUCAAUCCAUCAACCAGCACCACAAUGUUCUCCACCAAAUUUUACUAAACUGGGCGGCUCAAACAGAGAAUUUUCAGGAUGACUCCUCACCCAGAUGUUGGAUUUACCAGAGAAAUACAGGGAGCUGUUGGUUUGAGUGGAAAAGGGGAUUUCUCCUGAAAUGUUGCAAAUGAGGAAAAUAAAUCCAAUCCAGGCAUGGCAAAAAAGGAACUCUCAAAAAUUCCUGUCUGCUGAUCCUCGAUGGAAAAUCUCAGCUCCCAGAUAAACCUCAGGAAUAAAUCUGCACAGGGAAAUUCAGGGAUUGAUCCAGCACUGCUGGAAUUCAGCAUCCUCCUGGAUGCUCUGCCAAGCAGAUCUUCCAUGCUGGAAUUUAUCCUUCGGGAAAACUCAAUACAUUUAUGAUCCAGGAGUUUGUGAUUUAAUCACCUGAGGGAGCUUUCCAUGCUCAGGUUGUUACAAAAAUUCCUAUUCUGGGACCUUCCAAACUUCCUCAGUCUAGGAAUGGUUCAGAUUUAAGUCAGAUUAAUUUGAUCUUCAGGAAAACUCCAGAAAUUUAUAAUCCAGGAAUUUGUGAUUUUAAAGUUUUGUGGGGGGGGUUAAUAGCCUGAGGGACCUUUUCACCCUCACGUUGUUAUCAAAAUUCCCAUUCUGGGACCUUCCAAAGUUCCGUGGCCUAAGAAUUGUUUGGAUUUAAGCCAUAUUUAACACAGAAUUGUUAAACUGAGCGGGCUCUUGACUCCCAUAUUCAGGAUUGCCUUCCCUACAUCAAUUAUUUUAAGGAUCACUCUCUUCAAAUUCUGCUUCCAUAGUUACCUCUUUAAUAUGAUUCAUCUGCAGGGAGAAAAAUAAGAAAGAAAAAGAGCAGGAGUCAGCAAAUGGAGUCUGGCAAGAAAUGAAUCAAAUAAACUCAAAAUCGUGGCCUGGAUUAAAUUCCAUUUGACCAGAGCUGUGCAUUGAGAAGCCCCAUCAGGAUUUAAGAGAAAGGAUUUGAUGACAUCAGCGAUUCCCUGGGUCCAUCCCCAGAGGAUAAUAAAUAAUAUUUCCUCCAAGUUCUGAGUUCAUCCAAAGCAGUUUUUAAGGAGUGUGGGAAGCAUCUCAGGCCUUCAAUUAUUCCACUUUGGAGACCUCAGUGUGACAAUUUGGAAGGGUUUGAAUACUGCUGCAAUUGUCUCUGAGCUUCCUGCAAGGCCCAGAACUGAUAUAAUUCCUUUACUGAACAUUUGUAUCCUCCUUGAGAUGGAAGAGGGAAAUUUCCCUUGGAAUCUGGGAAUUUUUUGUCAUUGGAUUCAUUGACAGCAGUGCUAUUUGAUUCCACUCAGCAAAUGGAAUCUGGCAAGAAAUGAAUCAAAUAAACUCAAAACCGUGGCCUGGAUUAAAUCCCAUUUCAUUGAGAAGCUCCAGUCAGGAUUUAAGAGAAAGGAUUUGAUGACAUCAGCGAUUCCCUGGGUCCAUCCCCAGAGGAUGAUAAAUAAUAUUUCCUCCAAGUUCUGAGUUCAUCCAAAGCAGUUUUUAAGGAGUGUGGGAAGCAUCUCAGGCCUUCAAUUAUUCCACUUUGGAGACCUCGGUGAGACAAUUUGGAAGGGUUUGAAUACUGCUGCAAUUGUCUCUGAGCUUCCUGCAAGGCCCAGAACUGAUUUAAUUCCUUUACUGAACAUUUGCAUCCUCCUUGAGAUGGAAGAGGGAAAUUUCCUUUGGAAUCUGGGAAUUUUUUGUCAUUGGACUCAGUGACAGCAGCACCCAGGAGCACGGAGCCUUUUUGGCUUUGCUCAUCUUCUUGCCCCAGCCCACUUUAAUUCUCCAAACUUUUAAAAUUUGCUAAAAUUUUGUGCAUUUAUUGGUUUCCCCAUAAAUUUCUGGCUAUUCCUGCUUUUCUGCAGGGUCCAGAUGGGCUCAUGCUCUGCUCCAGUGUCUGAGCUGCAGUCACAGCAGGAGAAAAAAGAAUUCCUGCUGCUCCAGCCUGGGCUUUCAAGGGAUUCACGGCAAUGAAUAUUCCUGUGGAACCUGGAGUUGGAAAAACCUAAGGAAAAGGCUGUGGGGAAAAUGGGACUGGAUAAAAGGGAAACAAAUGCUGAAGGUGCUCCAGCUCUUCCCAGACUUUUUGUUGCCCUCAUCCAAAUCUUGUCAAACAAAUUUGCUCGAGGCUGGAGCAGAACAGAACUUGGAUGUUUCUCCUCACAGGGAAUCUAAAAGCUCAGACUUCUCUGAAAAUUGCCCUGGAAAUUUCAAUUCAUUGCAGGAAUUCCUCCCAGUUAAAUCCAUGGAACCUUUCAAAUGUGUUUGACCUUUUCCUUUUCUCCUUUUCCUUUUCCUUUUCCUUUUCCUUUU